AAAAAACAAAUGUGAGGUAGGCUGAACUUGAUGGACGCAAAUCUCUUUUCAGCUAUGUAACUUUUCCAAGAUGCGUUUUGCCAAUUGAUACUGAAAAGAACCCAGUUCAUAAAUCCAUAUGUGAAACCGUGCACACGAUGGCCUUCUGUGGUCAGAUGACGCUCAUGGGCCAAUCCUCCCUGUUCAGAGGCAAUUUGCCCUCACUCUAGGCUUCAGGAAAUUAUGUGUCACUAGUUUGUGGUGAGCGGAAAGACACAUCGCAUCCUCUGGUUAUACCAGAAAUGACGUUGCAUACAUAUCAGAGCGUCACUUCCGGUGUGUAGUGAAGUACUUGGGAAGUAGUCUGUCACUAUCCACACAGUCCCAGGAAGCUCAAUCGGCCAUGUAAAAAGAGAGCAAUGGAUGCAGUGCAUCAUAUUAAACAAUAUAAAAGGAAAAUAAUAUGUAUUUAAUCAAUUAAUCCACUCACCAAUAUCAAUAGAAGCUCUAUAUUUAGAACGAAUUACCAGAGGAAACGACAUGACAUUACUGUCAUUGAUAGAGCCUCGCAGCGAAACUCUACUUUGCAGGACUUUUCUUAUUAAUUGCAAAAUAUUAUAUAAUGUUUACUCAAUAUAUGUCAGUAUAAGGGGAGAGAAAGAAAGAUCAGGGUAGAGGUGCUGUAAGAGAGGUUAGAAUAAGGGGGGUGUAAGAGAUUGAAG
Pelobates cultripes (western spadefoot toad) is the source of this 701-nucleotide non-coding RNA. The record is from the annotation of a GenBank genome assembly. Lineage: Eukaryota; Metazoa; Chordata; Amphibia; Anura; Pelobatidae.